UACGCAGGGUGCGAGCGUUGUCCGGAAUUAUUGGGCGUAAAGAGCUUGUAGGCGGUCUGUCGCGUCUGCUGUGAAAAUCCGGGGCUCAACCCCGGACUUGCAGUGGGUACGGGCAGACUAGAGUGUGGUAGGGGAGACUGGAAUUCCUGGUGUAGCGGUGAAAUGCGCAGAUAUUAGGAGGAACACCGGUGGCGAAGGCGGCGAUCUGGACGAUGACUGACGCUGAGACGCGAAAGCGUGGGGAGCAAACAGG
RNAcentral lists this ribosomal RNA (253 nucleotides) under uncultured bacterium. RNAcentral's name for it is "partial 16S ribosomal RNA". It matches the Rfam family "Bacterial small subunit ribosomal RNA", at positions 524 to 776 of the family's 1533-position model. The record is from RNAcentral.